UACGUAGGGUGCGAGCGUUGUCCGGAUUUAUUGGGCGUAAAGCGUGCGUAGGCGGCUGCGCAAGUCGGUUGUGAAACCCCGGGGCUCAACCCCGGAACUGCAUCCGAUACUGCGUGGCUAGAGGUAGGUAGGGGAGAUCGGAAUUCCUGGUGUAGCGGUGAAAUGCGCAGAUAUCAGGAGGAACACCGGUGGCGAAGGCGGAUCUCUGGGCCUUACCUGACGCUCAGGCACGAAAGCUAGGGGAGCGAACAGG
This 253-nucleotide ribosomal RNA is filed under the name uncultured bacterium. Its description in RNAcentral is "partial 16S ribosomal RNA". It matches the Rfam family "Bacterial small subunit ribosomal RNA", at positions 524 to 776 of the family's 1533-position model. The record is from RNAcentral.